UACGUAGGGCGCAAGCAUUGUCCGGAAUUAUUGGGCGUAAAGAGCUCGUAGGCGGCUUGUCACGUCGGGUGUGAAAGCCCGGGGCUUAACCCCGGGUCUGCAUUCGAUACGGGCAGGCUGGAGUUCGGUAGGGGAGAUCGGAAUUCCUGGUGUAGCGGUGAAAUGCGCAGAUAUCAGGAGGAACACCGGUGGCGAGGGCGGAUCUCUGGGCCGAUACUGACGCUGAGGAGCGAAAGCGUGGGGAGCGAACAGG
Molecule: ribosomal RNA, 253 nt
Filed under: uncultured bacterium
Lineage: Bacteria
Description: partial 16S ribosomal RNA
Rfam family: Bacterial small subunit ribosomal RNA
Source: RNAcentral